GCCUUGUUAGCUCAGUUGGUAGAGCAUAAGGAUCUUACAGUCUCUCUGACCGGGUAAGAGUCUUGAGGUGCGGGUUCGAUUCCUGCGCAAGGCA
This is a non-coding RNA of Hysterangium stoloniferum, 94 nucleotides long. The record is from the annotation of a GenBank genome assembly. Lineage: Eukaryota; Fungi; Basidiomycota; Agaricomycetes; Hysterangiales; Hysterangiaceae.